Long non-coding RNA from Misgurnus anguillicaudatus (oriental weatherfish), 595 nucleotides. RefSeq lists it as uncharacterized. NCBI's taxonomy places the organism in Eukaryota, Metazoa, Chordata, Actinopteri, Cypriniformes, Cobitidae. The record is from RefSeq and is a predicted model, not a curated record.
UCCAAACAAGCAUCUGCCACAUACCAGCAUAAAUCAACGUGCUGUGGGCGGACAAGGAGAAAGACUUCGAGAAAUCGUUGAGGUAGAUGCUUUCACAGCUCAUCAGAUUCUGCGUGUAUAUGUGAUAGAGCGAGAGGAAAAAAACAGAAAGGACGAAGCAUCUGGAGGAGACGUGUCUGCUAAAGUUCAAAUAUAAACCUGAGGAAGAUCAGUCUGCCUCCGGCUCUGGAACAAUUAGGCACGGGUUUGGAACAAGACGGGCAGCUUGUGAGCUCACUGCAUCGAGACUGUUCAUCUCAUGAAUAUUAAUUAGCCUAUGCUGAUGUUUCUCGUGUAUUCGGCAUUGGAAUAUAGUAUCAAGCCAGUUUCAGGUUUGGAGCGCUGGGCGAUAUAUUGUGUGCUGUAAUUGGCACUUUGUUCAAUGAAAGCUGGGAGCUGAGUAGACAUGGAUGAUAACAGCUACUCAAAAAUGCUGUGCUCUCUCUGCCAUCUGGACUCCAUCCCUUGGAUCCCUAUAGGGAGUCUGCACAUGGAUAGCUGGAAAGAUGGAAGAAACAUUACAGUGGAUAGCUCAAUAGCGAUUCAGGUGUGUUAA